Long non-coding RNA from Sipha flava (yellow sugarcane aphid), 606 nucleotides. RefSeq lists it as uncharacterized. The transcript has 3 exons. NCBI's taxonomy places the organism in Eukaryota, Metazoa, Arthropoda, Insecta, Hemiptera, Aphididae. The record is from RefSeq and is a predicted model, not a curated record.
UUUUGAGUUAUUGCCAACGUGAUAUUUCAUUCGAAUAUAAUGUGUAAUGAUACAUGUUAUGUGUUCACAAUAAUAUACAAAUGUAUGUAUGGUUAACUGUUUACUAUUAUAUUUACCGUAAAUGUGCCUUGUGAUAAAAUAUAUUUUAUACCACGUAUCCGUGGCUCAAUAGAUCUUAUCUAGUUGCCUAAACUAUCACUAGAGUGACACUAAGUGUCAAUAAUCGUCCCAGGAUAUUGAAGAACAGGACACAGACGACAACACCCGUUCGAUUAAAUUGAGUUUGGAAAUUUUCACUAUAAUAAUUAAAGCAGUAUUUACGCACCUCAACGUGUAAAAAUAGAUUCGGGAUGUAGUGUUUCAUGCAGUCCACGAGAAAAACAAAAGAAUCCAACUAUAAAUUGAAUAAUUUCAUGAAAACUACAAUAACAUUCAAGCACAUUUGGACCAGAUUGCUCGAAAAAAUAUAAAUAUUCAGAAAAAAAUUAUUAAUGCAAAGAAAUCACAAAAACAUGCAUUUAUUAUGUCCUAACCAAUUAAAUAUGCAAAAAUAUGCAAAAUAAAAUAUCGUUAUUACAUUAUAAAUAAUUAUUGACCGAAUCCAUU